Molecule: ribosomal RNA, 468 nt
Filed under: uncultured Thauera sp.
Lineage: Bacteria; Pseudomonadati; Pseudomonadota; Betaproteobacteria; Rhodocyclales; Zoogloeaceae
Description: bacterial SSU rRNA
Rfam family: Bacterial small subunit ribosomal RNA
Source: RNAcentral
AGACGGGACCCGCACAAGCGGUGGAUGAUGUGGAUUAAUUCGAUGCAACGCGAAAACCUUACCUACCCUUGACAUGUCUGGAACCUUGCUGAGAGGCGAGGGUGCCUUCGGGAGCCAGAACACAGGUGCUGCAUGGCUGUCGCCAGCUCGUGUCGUGAGAUGUUGGGUUAAGUCCCGCAACGAGCGCAACCCUUGUCAUUAGUUGCCAUCAUUUAGUUGGGCACUCUAAUGAGACUGCCGGUGACAAACCGGAGGAAGGUGGGGAUGACGUCAAGUCCUCAUGGCCCUUAUGGGUAGGGCUUCACACGUCAUACAAUGGUCGGUACAGAGGGUUGCCAAGCCGCGAGGUGGAGCCAAUCCCUUAAAGCCGAUCGUAGUCCGGAUCGUAGUCUGCAACUCGACUACGUGAAGUCGGAAUCGCUAGUAAUCGCAGAUCAGCAUGCUGCGGUGAAUACGUUCCCGGGUCUU